RNAcentral lists this ribosomal RNA (257 nucleotides) under uncultured prokaryote. RNAcentral describes it as "partial 16S ribosomal RNA". It matches the Rfam family "Bacterial small subunit ribosomal RNA", at positions 524 to 780 of the family's 1533-position model. The record is from RNAcentral.
UACGGAGGAUCCGAGCGUUAUCCGGAUUUAUUGGGUUUAAAGGGUGCGCAGGCGGGAUGUUAAGUCGGCGGUGAAAUUUUGCAGCUCAACUGUAAAAGUGCCUUCGAUACUGGCUUUCUUGAGUGUGGAUGAAGUAGGCGGAAUUUGUGGUGUAGCGGUGAAAUGCUUAGAUAUCACGAGGAACUCCGAUUGCGCAGGCAGCUUACUAAACCACUACUGACGCUCAUGCAUGAAUGCGUGGGGAUCAAACAGGAUUA